CGACCGUUGCCGCGCAACUCAGCGCGGGUUUGUUUGUUGGUUGAGACAAAGGCCCUUCGUGCCGAGUUUAAUCACGGGUCAAUUUACCGCUAUCUCUGGAGAAACAAAGAACUGGAAGACUGGAGAAAUUAAAUGACAUAAGGAAUCACCACGCAAGGCAAAAGAUGCAUCAUCUGUCUAUGACAGCAAAAAGGACAGAGCACAACCCAUCCGGAGGUAAAAUCCUGUCCUUACAACAAAGACCUCCUCAGUCAUGGAAUGUGAUGUUAUCAUCAUCAGGGGCUCAAGGGGUUAAAUGAUCUAUUCCUGUUUCUAACAUCCUUUGAGAUUAUUGAUCUGCUGAUAUGUUCAAGAAGUGAAGAAAAUUAUGUAACAUAGUUCUCCAUCGUGUAAGGUUUUACCUUCUUGUAAAACUCACAGGAUUUUGGAAUUUAAUUUCUUAAUGCCUGUGAUUAUGGUGACAUAUUUAAGUCAUAUUGUGGAA
Hypanus sabinus (Atlantic stingray) is the source of this 484-nucleotide long non-coding RNA. RefSeq lists it as uncharacterized. The record is from RefSeq and is a predicted model, not a curated record. The transcript is spliced from 3 exons. NCBI's taxonomy places the organism in Eukaryota, Metazoa, Chordata, Chondrichthyes, Myliobatiformes, Dasyatidae.